UACGGAGGGGGCGAGCGUUAUUCGGAAUUAUUGGGCUUAAAGGGCGUGUAGGCGGCUUGCCAAGUCACAGGUGAAAGCCCUCGGCUUAACUGAGGAAGUGCAUCCGAAACUGGCAGGCUAGAGUACUAAAGAGGGUCGCGGAAUUCCCGGUGUAGAGGUGAAAUUCGUAGAUAUCGGGAGGAACACCGGUGGCGAAGGCGGCGACCUGGGUAGAUACUGACGCUGAGGUGCGAAAGCGUGGGGAGCAAACAGG
Molecule: ribosomal RNA, 253 nt
Filed under: uncultured bacterium
Lineage: Bacteria
Description: partial 16S ribosomal RNA
Rfam family: Bacterial small subunit ribosomal RNA
Source: RNAcentral